RNAcentral lists this ribosomal RNA (682 nucleotides) under uncultured Lachnospiraceae bacterium. RNAcentral describes it as "bacterial SSU rRNA". It matches the Rfam family "Bacterial small subunit ribosomal RNA", at positions 35 to 718 of the family's 1533-position model. Lineage: Bacteria; Bacillati; Bacillota; Clostridia; Lachnospirales; Lachnospiraceae. The record is from RNAcentral.
GCUGGCGGCGUGCUUAACACAUGCAAGUCGAACGGGAAAUAUUUCAUUGAGACUUCGGUGGAUUUGAUCUAUUUCUAGUGGCGGACGGGUGAGUAACGCGUGGGUAACCUGCCUUAUACAGGGGGAUAACGGUCAGAAAUGGCUGCUAAUACCGCAUAAGCGCACAGAGCUGCAUGGCUCAGUGUGAAAAACUCCGGUGGUAUAAGAUGGACCCGCGUUGGAUUAGCUUGUUGAUGGGGUAACGGCCCACCAAGGCGACGAUCCAUAGCCGGCCUGAGAGGGUGAACGGCCACAUUGGGACUGAGACACGGCCCAGACUCCUACGGGAGGCAGCAGUGGGGAAUAUUGCACAAUGGGGGAAACCCUGAUGCAGCGACGCCGCGUGAAGGAAGAAGUAUCUCGGUAUGUAAACUUCUAUCAGCAGGGAAGAUAGUGACGGUACCUGACUAAGAAGCCCCGGCUAACUACGUGCCAGCAGCCGCGGUAAUACGUAGGGGGCAAGCGUUAUCCGGAUUUACUGGGUGUAAAGGGAGCGUAGACGGUGUGGCAAGUCUGAUGUGAAAGGCAUGGGCUCAACCUGUGGACUGCAUUGGAAACUGUCAUACUUGAGUGCCGGGGGGGUAAGCGGAAUUCCUAGUGUAGCGGUGAAAUGCGUAGAUAUUAGGAGGAACACCAGUGGCGA